Molecule: long non-coding RNA, 4818 nt
Filed under: Sus scrofa (pig)
Lineage: Eukaryota; Metazoa; Chordata; Mammalia; Artiodactyla; Suidae
Description: lncRNA (ENSSSCG00000057657.1, ENSSSCG00175004438.1)
Source: RNAcentral
ACCCUUGCAAACGAUGGAAGAACUUUCCAGAUGGCAGGGGAGGGUUGUCACUCUAUAGGCUGAUUUGUUGUUUAUUUCCCCAAGGGUGGUGGGUUGCUCUUGCCUGAAGCCUCCUAGAGCAGUGAAUUUCAAUCGUAACAUGUUGCUUUGGUGGAGAUAUUCCAAAGGAAAUCCUCCAAAUAUGUCAAUAGGUUUAUGGAUGUUUCUUCAAUUUAACUCUUAUCAUUGGAUUUGUUCCAGAAUCUUCCUUAUUUACACACAGUAUAAUGAUUUGUACUACUUCAGCUUAGCCAAAAUCGAAUUACAUUUCUCAGAAGUUUCCUUGCAUUCUUCUAAGUUAGCAUGAGCAGCAGGAAAUAUUUGCUUUAAAUUUAAGAGAAGGUGAAGUAGGAACCAUUACAUUUUCAAGGUCAAUGCUAGGCACUGCUGUAACUUGCAGGCAUUGUCACCGAACCACAGGCUUGUUCUGUAGGCAUGGGGCAGCAGCUGACCUCUCAGCUUUCUUAACUCCCGUAGAUUUCUUGCUUCAUCUUCCUUGAACCCUAGGCAAGAAGCAUGAGGAGCUUUAUGGUAAAAGGUGGCAGCUCCCUCUGCUGGUCCCCACAUGGUCAAGAUUGGAAGCGGGGAGAGACUGAUGUGGAUUCCAUUGUGUCCUCAUGGGUUCCUCACAUCUCUUUCACAUCCAAAUUUUCAUUUCAUCUAAUGACCUCUAUUGACCUAUAGCAACAUCAGGCCCAGCAUCAGACACAGAUGGAACAGUGUUCAAUAGAAUUAUUCAACAGCUUCCACAAUUGCCUAAAGUAUCAUCACUUCUUAUAAUGUCUCUUCUUCCACAUCAUUCAUAAUCAUUCUGCUUCCUUGAUCAAACUAACUUAUUUGGGGGGGGCAUAUACCCCAAUGAUCAGGGGUAAAGACUUGAGUUUAUACUUUAAGCUCAGCCUCUUACUGGUCCUGACUGUGGGCUAGUUCUUUAUUCUCCCAGUGCCUCAGUUUUGCAUUGGGAAAAUAGGAUGACAGUACUCCAGCCACAGAGCCUGGUGCAUCAGUUAAUAUGUUUAAGUACUUAAAAUGCAAUCAGUAAAUACUAUUCCUGUUACUUUUCCUGAAACUAUAUUGUCUCAGGAAACAGAGAUAUGAAUUCAUCCUUGCUGCUUUUAUUUAACUUGCACACAUUUUCCUAAUGUUGGUAUAAUAGAAAUGUGUCAAAAUCCUCAUUUCCAAAUCCAAUGACUCUUAUCUUUUAUAAUUUCAUAUUCUGUUAUUUAUUUUCAUUAGCAUUUGUGAGAGAGAGCCAUUUGAGCCUUCUUAGCUAUCUAUCCCCUCAUCAGAAAACUUGUUCUUUCUCUAGCAUUUAGUACAUUAUAUAGCGCAGACUAGGCAUUCAACAUGUUUUGUAAUUAGAUUAUUUUGUAUAAUUUAUAUUAGUAUUUCCAUUUUAUAUUUAUGAGAAAUAGUAGAGCUGUUAAAAAUCUGUAUUCAAAAAUAAAGGUUAAUAAUCAUUAUUUGCUGUCUUAAUUGACAAAAAAAAACCUGCCGUAUUUGUUCACAUCUGUAUAUGAUUCUCUAUGCCUUUGAAAAUGACUUGAGGCACACUUCAAAUUCUGUCGCACAGAUAUAAAAGGUGCAGGGCUUGUCAUAUACUGCAUCUGAAAUCAAGAAGAAGGAUAAUUAUAUCCUUAUUUCUAGCCCAGAGACAUCUCUGCAAGCUCAGUUGACUAAAUUAAACAUACAUUUCCAAAAGCUACUUAUAGAGGUAGCUACAAGCUAUUUCAAGUCAAGUGGUAGCUGGACAAGAUUCCAGUUCUUUCUUGAGUCAGAAAAAUGCAUUUAACUUCAGAUACUUAUUGAAUAGGAACAGCUAAGGUACAACAGUCCCUGUCUUGACGGUAUAUAAAACAAGUUUAUCAGUUUAUUGAGCAGCCUUCAUCAAUUAUUUCAAGGAAGAGUUGUCCCCUAGUCAGACAGGAAUGAUGUCCUAGCUGACAGAUUCAUUACCAGAGAGGAUGGGUCAGUGGCUUAAUAUACCACUCUAUGGAAGAGGAAGGCAAAAGUUAGUGGUUUAAUUAUUAGAUUACUCAGUUCGUCUAGUGGUUAUAUCCUAGCAUCAAUCUUUCCCCUCUCCCACUGAUAACACAUAGCUUUUACUUUGAGUCAAAUUAAUCUGUCCUGUUUGGGGCUGUGAUUUAGGUAUGAUGAGGUGUACAGGAGCACGAAUCACAGGAGAAACCCUAGGGACUCGAGCCAGGGACUCGAGCCAGGUUUCCGUUGAUCGUAGUGUUUUAUUCUGAUUGUGGUUUAUUUCCUGUGGAACCUAAAGACGUUGAGGUAACUGACAUGGGUGAGCCAUGUGGUUGGGAACUGCUGCCCCAGAUUUGCUUUUUUUCUUGGCUGUCUUUCCAUGAAGACGCCAUGCUGCAGGUCAAGUUUUCUCUCCUGGCAAAGCAGAGUGGAAAGAAGCCUCUACACAGAGCUGCCACUCGGAGGCCCCCGCGGGCCUAACCCUAACCCUAACCCUAACCCCAACCCCACUAACUCUGGAGCCAAGAUUCCUUUUACUCGCUAGCACAUUCAGAAUUUCCCCUUCUUAACUUUCUUUUUUUGGAAUAUACCUGCUUUUUUGCCUUGUUUGUACUAGUUUGAGGUUUCUUCUUACUUGCUGUAGCAGGCAGAAUAAUGGCCCCAUAAAGAUGUCAGGUCCUGAUCUCUCAUACUUAUAAAUACAUCAGGACAAAAAAAAAAGAGCUUUGAAAAUACGAUUAAGUUAAGGAUCUUGACAUAGCAAGAUUAUCCUGGCUUAUCCAUGCAGGCCAUAAAUGCAAUCACAGUGUCCCGUGACAGGCAGAGGAGAUUAGACAGAUGAGAAAGUCAUGUGAAAACAGAAGCAGAGACAGAAAUCGAAAUGAUGGAACCAGAAGCCAGGACUGCAUGCUGCCAAGGGAUGGGCUCUGCCCAGAGCCUUCACAGGGAGUGUGGUCCCGCAGGCACCUUGAUGUUGGCCCAGGGAUACUGUUGCUGUAACCCAGCCUCUGUCCAUCAGUGCUAAAGAGAAAUGCGAAGACAAAAUUUUGGGUAAAGGAGAAAAAAAUAGCUUUUACUGCUGUCCCAGGCAAAGGAGGCCAUGGCAGGUUCAUGCCUUAAAGACUGUGCCCUCCUGUGCCCUCCUCUGGGGAAGAAUUGCAGGGAGUUUUGUGGUCUAAAAUGAGAAAAACAGGGUUUUAAUAAAAAUCAGGGUUGGUGGCACACAUGCAUUCUUCUUUCUUUGGGGGAAUUCAGCUACUGUGUUACAAUGACUGUAUAAUGAAGCUGAAGGCCCACUGGAAGGCAAAUCAUCCACCGUCUUGGACUUGGUGGGUUCUAACCAGUUUUUGUCAUAUCCUCAAAGACUAUGUCAUUCUUUUAAAUGUUGUGCCCUGCUCCCUUCGCUUCUGUUUCAAUACUAAUUUAGUUUCGCCUAUAAACUACUUUGACCCUUUAAGAUUUAAAUCUUCUGCUGUAUUCCGUCCCAUCUUUGCUUCUCAGUGUUCAAAUUAUAGUUUUGACUUGCCUCAGAAUGUGCAGCUCUCCAGAUCCCUAGGAGAUCAAAAGCCUCCCCUGUUUGUUUACAUCUCAAUGUGGUCUCUCCCAUACACCAUUCCAGAUGCUUUUGAAUGUGCUUGAAGCAUCCUUCAAAUACUGCAGCACAAACAUGAAUUAGAAUACAUUUACAUGGAAAAGAGCGAAAAUUCAGCACCAUUCAUUUCAUUAAAAUACAUGCACAUAAACUGAUUUUUGAUGAAUUUUCAUUAGCAUUUUUAGCACCUAGUAGUUAUAUUUUUAUAGAAAAAUUUGGAUGGACAGCUAUCAUACUGAAUUUAAACAGUAAAUGUAAAAUUGUCCCUAACUUAUAUAUCACAUAAAAAUACAGUGAAAACACAGUAAAACAGUUCUUAUUUAGUGUGGUGGAAAAUAAAAUACCAAAGUGUCUGACAAAAUGAAAGUCCUGUGGUUAUAAUCAGCUGUGUAUUUUGGGUUUCUAUUAUUAUUUUUUACAGAGUUAAAAUGCAUUGUGUUUGUUCAUUAAGAAUGACGUUUGUAAGUUUUGGAAAUCAUUUCUUAAAUGUGGCAUGCAAUCAUUCCUGCCACAUCGGCCUCUUUCAAGUUCCCGUUUUUUGAAUAUGACAAACACCCUUAGAAUAUUGCAAUUGCUGCUCUCUUUAUCUAAACCAUCUCCCCAAAGCUUGCCCCUCACUCCCUUGUUCAUUUAUAAAAAUAUCCUGUUCACCACAAAGACUUCUCCGAACUGUCUGCCUGCAUUACUUUCUGUUACACUGUAUCUCCUUAUCUCUGUUUUAUAUUUUUUCCACUUAGCAGCUAACACAGUGUGUAUUUAUUUUUUCUGCAGCCCAUCUGCUUACCCUUCCCUACACAUCCUUUCCUACUCCCUGAACCAUCCACACUGCUCUUUGGGCAAAGAGUUGGCUGUUUUUAUACUUUCUCUAUCCUCAGAAUGUAAAAUACAACUGGGAUAAAUUAAGGGCUCACUCAUUUUUGUUAAAUCAAUAAAAUAAAGGCUACUUUUAAAAAUGUAUUCAUGGAGUUCCCGUCAUGGCUCAGGGGUUAAGAAUCUGACUAGGAACCAUGAGGUUUGGGGUUCGAUCCCUGGCCUUGCUCAGUGGAUUAAGGAUCCAGUGUUGCCCUGAGCUGUGGUGUAGGUUGCAGAGGCAGCUUGGAUCCCGCAUUGCUGUGGCUGUGGUGUAGGUCGGCGGCUGUUGCUCCGAUUAGACCCCCAGCCUAGGAACCUCCAUAUGCCGUGGGAGCGGCCCUAGAAAAGGCAAAAAG